This 339-nucleotide long non-coding RNA is filed under the name Gossypium raimondii (Peruvian cotton). RNAcentral describes it as "long non-coding RNA (GRAI_LNC006786)". The record is from RNAcentral. Lineage: Eukaryota; Viridiplantae; Streptophyta; Magnoliopsida; Malvales; Malvaceae.
UGAACACAGAAUCUCGAACCUAAAACUCCGAACUCCAAACCCGAACCCUGAACCCUAAACCUUGAGUCUCAAACCUAGAACCCCGAGUUCGAGUUUGGGGUUUAGAAAAUUCAAGGUUCAAGAUUUAAGUUUGGAUUCAAGUUUAGGUUUGGGGUUUAGAGUUUGAACUCAGGGUUUGAGUUUGGGUUUUAAUGUUUAAGCUUUUAAGUUUGGGGUUUAAGAUUUUGCUUCGAGAUUCUGGGUAAAAAAAAAACUAAAAUCAUGUGUUAAUGACAUGAAAAAAAUUGAUGAAAUGUCAUUAAAUUAUUGGAAGAGACUAUAGAUGAUGUGGUGAGAAGG